GUCUACGGCCAUACCACCCUGAACGCGCCCGAUCUCGUCUGAUCUCGGAAGCUAAGCAGGGUCGGGCCCGGUUAGUACUUGGAUGGAGACCGCCUGGGAAUACCGGGUGCUGUAGGCU
Ribosomal RNA from Capra hircus (goat), 118 nucleotides. Lineage: Eukaryota; Metazoa; Chordata; Mammalia; Artiodactyla; Bovidae. The record is from Ensembl.